Juglans regia (Persian walnut) is the source of this 107-nucleotide small nucleolar RNA. The record is from RefSeq and is a predicted model, not a curated record. NCBI's taxonomy places the organism in Eukaryota, Viridiplantae, Streptophyta, Magnoliopsida, Fagales, Juglandaceae.
AGAUCGUGAUGCAAAUACUUGCGCAACAAAUCCUUGUAUCUCUCUCAUGCCUCAUAUAAUGAUUCACCUUCAAGUUGGGUGAAGGUAGUAAUAUCAUUCCUUAACUC